RNAcentral lists this ribosomal RNA (398 nucleotides) under uncultured bacterium. RNAcentral's name for it is "partial 16S ribosomal RNA". It matches the Rfam family "Bacterial small subunit ribosomal RNA", at positions 338 to 733 of the family's 1533-position model. The record is from RNAcentral.
CCUACGGGAGGCAGCAGUGAGGAAUAUUGGUCAAUGGGCGCGAGCCUGAACCAGCCAAGUAGCGUGAAGGAUGACUGCCCUACGGGUUGUAAACUUCUUUUAUAAAGGAAUAAAGUGAGGCACGUGUGCCUUUUUGUAUGUACUUUAUGAAUAAGGAUCGGCUAACCCCGUGCCAGCCGCCGCGGUAAUACGGAGGAACCGAGCGUUAUCCGGAUGUAUUGGGUUUAAAGGGAGCGUAGAUGGGUUUUUAAGUCAGUUGUGAAAGUUUGCGGCUCAACCGUAAAAUUGCAAUUGAUACUGGCAGUCUUGAGUACAGUAGAGGUAGGCGGAAUUCGUGGUGUAGCGGUGAAAUGCGUAGAGAUCAAGAAGAACUCUGAUUGCGAAGGCAGCUUACUAGA